UCCCCCCCUAAUUUGACGGUCCCUUUUGAAAUUUAGAAGGCACGCCCAUUCAUUCAAAUUCCACUUUCUAUCUUCAAAAUUCCAUUUUUCUCUCUUCAAACAAAUCAAACCUCUGUAACUCAAAAAUCACACCAUUGUUCACCACUAAGUUCCGAUUUAGGGUUCUGUAUUAGAAACAAAAAGAGCAAAACCAAGUAUGUGAUUUAGGGUUAUAUUCUUUAACCUCUGUUGAGAUCCUAUUGAUAUAUGAUAGAAAAGACCUCUCUCUAUAUUUUACUAAGGAGGGCUCGGCUAGAGAGCGAGAGACAAAACCUAAAGGACGAGGAAGUGAGGGCUCACCGAAGUCAUACAAGAAGAUCAGUUCCACCGGAUUGUCAAAGCUUUGGAGGUUCCGAGAUCUAUACACCAACAACGACAAGUUCAUAUUAAAAAUCGGAUGAGGCAUCGAUUUGUUAUCUAUCCCGUUGAUGGUGUUGAGAUUGUUGUGUCUAGUCUGUUCUUUGGCUGGAAUAUUUCGACUCAACCGGGUUUCUCGUGUAGCUAGCGAUGGUGGUGUUGGGUUUCUAGGAAAUGGACAGGUUGAAGGGGAUGGGUAUUCUCUUUAUUGAAAAAGAGGAAAAAGGGGUCCUAUGAUGGAGGAUCGAUAUUCAGCCCUUGCCGAUGUUCAAGGAGAUUCCAAAUAGGGUAUAAGAGGCCAUUGUGGGAGGAUGUCUAAAUUAUGAUGAUGUUUACAAGGAGGUAAACCCUAAAAGGUGACUACCGGGAAGGUAUUACAAGGUUCAAUGCUUGGAUCAAACACAACUCUUGAGAGCAGUCGAUUUAAUGAUGCAUGAUCAAAGAAAGUUUAAAAUCUUCUGCGUCCUACUUGAUGAUUUAAAGAAACCAGGGAUUUUGAUGCAUUUGAAUUAAUGAGUAGUCUAUAGUUAUGUUUAGUUAUAGCGUAUUUGGAUCAUAUUAUUAUGGUUGGACUAAAUUUCAAAUUAUCUUUUCUUUUCUUUUCUUUUUUCCUUUUUUGUUAUUAUCAAAUUUAGAAUCUAGUUGUAGUUAUUUGUAACUUUAUCUCUGUAAUAGAGGUUUUGGCUUUUUGACAA
This is a long non-coding RNA of Cornus florida, 1091 nucleotides long. RefSeq lists it as uncharacterized. The record is from RefSeq and is a predicted model, not a curated record. Lineage: Eukaryota; Viridiplantae; Streptophyta; Magnoliopsida; Cornales; Cornaceae. The transcript has 4 exons.